AAAAAGAAAAUGGAAUUAGAAUUUUCAAAGAAAACAAAAGGUCACUUGGAAAAGAAAUGGACUUAAGAUGGUCAAGCGAAUAUUGAGAGAGAAGAAGAAAACGAGUUAAUCUCCGAAAAAAAAAAUGAAACAAAAAUUCUAAAAACUAACAAUUAACAUGGAGAAUCAGUUGAUUAACAUUUUCUUUCAAAUUCUUUCGUGAGAUUAGCCCUUGUUGUCUAUUCUCAGAGCAAUUCGCUAAUUUUCCCUCUUUGUGAUUAGUCAAUUCGGUUUGAAUUUCGUUUUCUAUUUUUUUAUCAUUUGUUGAUCAUUCUAAUUGUUACAAUUACUAAAUUAAUUUAUUUUCUUUUUUUAUGAUUGUAAUUAGAAGGAGAAGAAUUUUAACAAAUUAAAAUAACUGAAUCGAAAUUCAUUUGGUUUUUGUUGUCUAAUUUUCUACAAUCAAUUUAACUGUUAAGGUAAAUUUUCACAAAACAAGGAAACGGAAUAUUGAUGUUAAACAGUAAACAAAAUUUAUCAGUUUUAUCAACAAUCUUCUUAACCAUCUCUCUCAUCAAGCUAAAUCAUCAUCAUUUUCAUUGUUUGGCCAUUUUUUUCAUCUUCUUCUUCUUCUUCUGAGUGACCAUCAAGAUUUUACAGGUUAAAACAAUUAUCUAAUUUGUCAUCUUAUUGACCAUCACUUACCAUUUGUGCAACUGCUCGGACAACCUUGAUUGGAUUACUUCUUGCCGCAUAAUCUAAACGUGUUUUCCCCAUCAUAUACAUAAUUGCAGGUAAACGGUAUCCAAUUUAGACCAUGGAUUAAAAAGGAUGUAAAUGUCUUCCCUCACAUCGAAAGACCUUAUAUUUCGAGAUCCAUUUUGUUUAGUUGAGAUUCGUAAUUUCCAUGCCGCUACUGCAGCGGUUGGUGGU
Molecule: long non-coding RNA, 912 nt
Organism: Panonychus citri (citrus red mite)
Lineage: Eukaryota; Metazoa; Arthropoda; Arachnida; Trombidiformes; Tetranychidae
Exons: 4
Source: RefSeq, a predicted model, not a curated record